UAAGGCCUCUUCGGAGGUACACGAGCGGCGGACGGCUGAGUAACGCGUAGGAACGUACCCCAAAGUGAGGGAUAAGCACCAGAAAUGGUGUCUAAUACCGCAUGUGCUCUACGGAGUAAAGCUACGGCGCUUUGGGAACGGCCUGCGUAUGAUUAGCUUGUUGGUGAGGUAAUGGCUCACCAAGGCGACGAUCAUUAGCUGGUCUGAGAGGAUGAUCAGCCAGACUGGGACUGAGACACGGCCCAGACUCCUACGGGAGGCAGCAGUAGGGAAUUUUCCACAAUGGGGGCAACCCUGAUGGAGCAACGCCGCGUGCAGGAUGAAGGCUUUCGGGUCGUAAACUGCUUUUAUAUGUGACGAAUAUGACGGUAGCAUAUGAAUAAGGAUCGGCUAACUCCGUGCCAGCAGCCGCGGUCAUACGGAGGAUCCAAGCGUUAUCCGGAAUUACUGGGCGUAAAGAGUUGCGUAGGUGGCAUAGUAAGUUGGUAGUGAAAGCGUGUGGCUCAACCAUAUACACAUUACCAAAACUGCUAAGCUAGAGGAUGAGAGAGGUUAUUGGAAUUCCCAGUGUAGGAGUGAAAUCCGUAGAUAUUGGGAGGAACACCGAUGGCGUAGGCAGAUAACUGGCUCAUUCCUGACACUAAGGCACGAAAGCGUGGGGAGCAAACGGGAUUAGAUACCCCGGUAGUCCACGCCGUAAACUAUGGAUGCUAGCUGUUAGAGGUAUCGACCCCUCUAGUAGCGAAGCUAACGCGUUAAGCAUCCCGCCUGUGGAGUACGGUCGCAAGACUAAAACAUAAAGGAAUUGAC
RNAcentral lists this ribosomal RNA (810 nucleotides) under uncultured Pseudomonadota bacterium. RNAcentral's name for it is "bacterial SSU rRNA". It matches the Rfam family "Bacterial small subunit ribosomal RNA", at positions 70 to 914 of the family's 1533-position model. Lineage: Bacteria; Pseudomonadati; Pseudomonadota. The record is from RNAcentral.